UUAGUCUUUUAAUUGAAGACUGGUAUGAAGGAGUAAACCAAGAGAAUUUUUUUUAGAUUAAUAUAAUGAAAUUUACUUUUUAGUAAAAAGGCUAAAAUUUUUCUUUUGGACGAGAAGACCCUAUAAAACUUUAUAUUUUCUUCUUUUAGGAGAAGAUUGAAAAUAUUUCACUGGGGCGGUGGGAAGAAGGACUCUUCUUGAAGAAAUAUUACAUGCUUGUUUUAAUAUCUAGAAAUUCUAAAGAAGGAAUAAGUUACUUUAGGGAUAACAGCUUUAUUUACUUAGAAAGUUCUUAUUGACAAGUAAGUUUAUGACCUCGAUGUUGAAUUAAAAUACCUUUUUUGUGU
This 347-nucleotide ribosomal RNA is filed under the name Apistobuthus pterygocercus. RNAcentral's name for it is "partial large subunit ribosomal RNA". The record is from RNAcentral. Lineage: Eukaryota; Metazoa; Arthropoda; Arachnida; Scorpiones; Buthidae.